GCGCGGGUGGCGAAAUGGCAGACGCGCUACCUUGAGGUGGUAGUGCCCGCAAGGGCUUGGAGGUUCGAGUCCUCUCCCGCGCACCA
Molecule: transfer RNA, 86 nt
Filed under: Patescibacteria group bacterium
Lineage: Bacteria
Description: tRNA-Leu
Rfam family: tRNA
About the family: Transfer RNA (tRNA) molecules are approximately 80 nucleotides in length. Their secondary structure includes four short double-helical elements and three loops (D, anti-codon, and T loops). Further hydrogen bonds mediate the characteristic L-shaped molecular structure. tRNAs have two regions of fundamental functional importance: the anti-codon, which is responsible for specific mRNA codon recognition, and the 3' end, to which the tRNAs corresponding amino acid is attached (by aminoacyl-tRNA synthetases). tRNAs cope with the degeneracy of the genetic code in two manners: having more than one tRNA (with a specific anti-codon) for a particular amino acid; and 'wobble' base-pairing, i.e. permitting non-standard base-pairing at the 3rd anti-codon position.
Source: RNAcentral